UCCCUGGUGGUCCAGUGGUUAUGACUCUGCACUUACACUGCAGGGGGCACAGGUUCAAUCCCUGGUGGGGAA
RNAcentral lists this transfer RNA (72 nucleotides) under Bos taurus (domestic cattle). It matches the Rfam family "tRNA". Rfam says of the family: Transfer RNA (tRNA) molecules are approximately 80 nucleotides in length. Their secondary structure includes four short double-helical elements and three loops (D, anti-codon, and T loops). Further hydrogen bonds mediate the characteristic L-shaped molecular structure. tRNAs have two regions of fundamental functional importance: the anti-codon, which is responsible for specific mRNA codon recognition, and the 3' end, to which the tRNAs corresponding amino acid is attached (by aminoacyl-tRNA synthetases). tRNAs cope with the degeneracy of the genetic code in two manners: having more than one tRNA (with a specific anti-codon) for a particular amino acid; and 'wobble' base-pairing, i.e. permitting non-standard base-pairing at the 3rd anti-codon position. The record is from Rfam by way of RNAcentral. Lineage: Eukaryota; Metazoa; Chordata; Mammalia; Artiodactyla; Bovidae.